Rosa chinensis is the source of this 436-nucleotide long non-coding RNA. RefSeq lists it as uncharacterized. The record is from RefSeq and is a predicted model, not a curated record. NCBI's taxonomy places the organism in Eukaryota, Viridiplantae, Streptophyta, Magnoliopsida, Rosales, Rosaceae. The transcript has 3 exons.
AAUAUUGGCUUCCUUUUGCUGGGCAUAAAUAUGCUACAAGGUCUACUGCUGAUUUGUUGCCAAUACUACCUACACUGUCACCAGCUUUACUCUUAAAUAGUAUCUUCAAAAGAUGAAUGCAGAUUCUGGUUCAUUGUCAUCCAAAGACAAGUAUAAGAAUAAGCACAAGUCAUGGAUCAAUAAAUGAAGAAGAAGCUGAUAGGAUUGUAUAACUUCCUGGGCAACCGAAGGUCUCCUUCCAAUAGUAUUCGGGUUUCGGGUGAAGAAUGUUACAAGCAAGGAGGAUGUUAGUCAUAAAUAUGGUUAAGAAGUUUUGGUCACUAGCUUCGUGUGUAACUCUUAAUUUCAACAAGAAGCUAGUAGUUUUAGGUAUUUUGAUGCUUGUAAUUUUGCAAAACCUUUGGUUGGUCUUACAAUUGUAAUUGUUGAUUUGUAA